This 433-nucleotide ribosomal RNA is filed under the name uncultured bacterium. RNAcentral describes it as "partial 16S ribosomal RNA". It matches the Rfam family "Bacterial small subunit ribosomal RNA", at positions 29 to 507 of the family's 1533-position model. The record is from RNAcentral.
AGCGAACGCUGGCGGCAGGCCUAACACAUGCAAGUCGAACGAACUCUUCGGAGUUAGUGGCGGACGGGUGAGUAACACGUGGGAACGUGCCUUUAGGUUCGGAAUAACUCAGGGAAACUAGUGCUAAUACCGAAUGUGCCCUUCGGGGGAAAGAUUUAUCGCCUUUAGAGCGGCCCGCGUCUGAUUAGCUAGUUGGUGAGGUAAAGGCUCACCAAGGCGACGAUCAGUAGCUGGUCUGAGAGGAUGAUCAGCCACAUUGGGACUGAGACACGGCCCAAACUCCUACGGGAGGCAGCAGUGGGGAAUCUUGCGCAAGGGGCGAAAGCCUGACGCAGCCAUGCCGCGUGAAUGAUGAAGGUCUUAGGAUUGUAAAAUUCUUUCACCGGGGACGAUAAUGACGGUACCCGGAGAAGAAGCCCCGGCUAACUUCGUG